CAAUAGCGUAUAUUAAAGUUGUUGCAGUUAAAAAGCUCGUAGCUGGAUUUCGGGGCAGCCUGGCUGGUCCGCCGCAAGGCGAGUACUGGUCAGCCGCCCUUCCUCUCGAAAGCCCCGACUGCUCUUUACUGUAGUGGUCGGGUAGUUCGGGACGUUUACUUUGAAAAAAUUAGAGUGUUCAAGGCAGGCCUACGCCUGAAUACAUUAGCAUGGAAUAAUGGAAGAGGACCUCGGUCCUAUUUUGUUGGUUUCCAGGGCCGAAGUAAUGAUUAAGAGGGACAGUUGGGGGCAUUCGUAUUUAAUUGUCAGAGGUGAAAUUCUCGGAUUUAUGAAAGACGAACAACUGCGAAAGCAUUUGCCAAGGAUGUUUUCAUUAA
RNAcentral lists this ribosomal RNA (377 nucleotides) under uncultured eukaryote. RNAcentral's name for it is "partial 18S ribosomal RNA". It matches the Rfam family "Eukaryotic small subunit ribosomal RNA", at positions 592 to 976 of the family's 1831-position model. The record is from RNAcentral.